UUUUUUUUGUAACGACAAGCAAAUGGUUUCAUCUUGUGAACAUGUAUCAAUGAAAGACAACUUCGUAUACUCUUCAGGUGGGUGUGUCAUUUCAAACUCAGUUUAUCGCAAUAAAUGUUGUAAUAUUUUCAUUUCCAUGUAAAUCUAAUGAAUUUGUUAUUUGAUACAACAUCAUUUAUAUCUGACUUCAGACUGGUGAAUUUGAUUUUAUCAAUUUACUAUAGCGCUACCUGAUUAUCUCUCGAAGUAUAUAAUGUUUAGAAAUUUCGGACAGCGCAUAUUUCGGAUAAAACGUUUCAAUAUGAUUAUCAGUGUGUUUUAGUUGAAUAUAUUUUCUUCUAACUGUAAAUAUUAUUAAUUAUUAUUAUUAUCUGUAUAAAGCACAAACAGUCAAGCUGUAUAUAACCAAUUUCAAUUGUUAUAAAAUUCAAUAAAAUAUUUUGUUCCUGUAGAUAUUUCGACCGAGGACAGUGGCGAGAUAAAAGACGUCAGUAUCCGAUGUAAAUACACAAGCAUGCUCUGCUGUAAAAACGUUUUGGUACGUGAUUUCAUGGUUGGAUCUUGAGUACUUGCCAUGGCUCUUGGUUUAUUUUAAAGUGUUCACCAUCAGAUUAGAAACCAAAAAGUGAUUCCACCAGACAUAGUUGAAAGAAAAUGUCCAUACACAGUCUUGGAGUACAUAGUGGUAGAAACAUGGCAGUCCAUUAUAUAUUUUGACUGAAUUAAAGCUUCCUAAAGCUCAA
Molecule: long non-coding RNA, 743 nt
Organism: Ruditapes philippinarum (Manila clam)
Lineage: Eukaryota; Metazoa; Mollusca; Bivalvia; Venerida; Veneridae
Exons: 2
Source: RefSeq, a predicted model, not a curated record